GACGAACGCUGGCGGCGUGCUUAACACAUGCAAGUCGAGCGGUAAGGCCCUUUCGGGGGUACACGAGCGGCGAACGGGUGAGUAACACGUGGGUGACCUGCCCUCAGCUCUGGGAUAAGCCUGGGAAACCGGGUCUAAUACCGGAUAUGACUCCAUGACGCAUGUUGUGGGGUGGAAAGCCUUGUGCGGCUGAGGAUGGGCCCGCGGCCUAUCAGCUUGUUGGUGGGGUGAGGCCUACCAAGGCGACGACGGGUAGCCGGCCUGAGAGGGCGACCGGCCACACUGGGACUGAGACACGGCCCAGACUCCUACGGGAGGCAGCAGUGGGGAAUCUUGCGCAAUGGGCGAAAGCCUGACGCAGCGACGCCGCGCGAGGGAUGACGGCCU
This 387-nucleotide ribosomal RNA is filed under the name uncultured bacterium. RNAcentral's name for it is "bacterial SSU rRNA". It matches the Rfam family "Bacterial small subunit ribosomal RNA", at positions 28 to 417 of the family's 1533-position model. The record is from RNAcentral.